AAGCACGGAGGGGAGCCUGAGCUCCCCUCCAAAUCGACUUUGUGCUUUGUUCUUCUUGUGCUCGAUCUGUUGUUGUUCUUGUCGACCGCCACCCUGAAGAUGCUUCAGUCGGCCCCAGCCGGGCCAAGAGCAAACGUAUUUCUUUGAUCGCCGAUAUCGCGAUGAUCACCAGGUGAUCCAGUCAGUCCGGGCGCUACCUCAAGGUAGUU
RNAcentral lists this small RNA (209 nucleotides) under Azotobacter chroococcum. Its description in RNAcentral is "Pseudomonas sRNA P29". Lineage: Bacteria; Pseudomonadati; Pseudomonadota; Gammaproteobacteria; Pseudomonadales; Pseudomonadaceae. The record is from RNAcentral.